RNAcentral lists this ribosomal RNA (292 nucleotides) under uncultured bacterium. RNAcentral describes it as "partial 16S ribosomal RNA". It matches the Rfam family "Bacterial small subunit ribosomal RNA", at positions 505 to 796 of the family's 1533-position model. The record is from RNAcentral.
GUGCCAGCCGCCGCGGUAAUACGGAGGGUGCAAGCGUUGUCCGGAAUCACUGGGUGUAAAGGGUGUGCAGGCGGGGCAGCAAGUCGGAUGUGAAACCCCAUGGCUUAACCAUGGAGGUGCAUUCGAAACUGUUGCUCUUGAGUCCCGGAGAGGUUGCCGGAAUUCGUGGUGUAGCGGUGAAAUGCGUAGAUAUCACGAGGAACACCAGAGGCGAAAGCGGGCAACUGGACGGGUACUGACGCUCAGGCACGAAAGCGCGGGGAGCAAACAGGAUUAGAAACCCCUGUAGUCC